GACGAACGCUGGCGGCGUGCCUAAUACAUGCAAGUCGAACGCUGAAGGAGGAGCUUGCUUCUCUGGAUGAGUUGCGAACGGGUGAGUAACGCGUAGGUAACCUGCCUCGUAGCGGGGGAUAACUCUUGGAAACGAUAGCUAAUACCGCGUAAGAGUAGAUGUUGCAUGACAUUUGCUUAAAAGGUGCAGUUGCAUCACUACCUGAUGGAGCUGCGUUGCCUUAGCUAGUUGGUGGGGUAACGGCUCACCAAGGCGACGAAUCCUCGCCGGCCUGAGGAGGGGGUCCGCCACACUUGGACCUGGACCCCGCCCAGGCCCCCUCGGGAGGCCGCCAGAGGGGAACUUUGGGCAAUGGCGGAAGGCUUACCGGGGCACGCCGCGGGAGUGAAUAAGGGUCUCGGGUCCGAAAGAUCCGUUGUAUGGGGAGAAAGAGAUGGGGAGUGAAAAGUGCACGCUGUGACGGUACCUAACCAGAAAGCCACGGCUAACUACGUG
This 495-nucleotide ribosomal RNA is filed under the name uncultured bacterium. RNAcentral describes it as "partial 16S ribosomal RNA". It matches the Rfam family "Bacterial small subunit ribosomal RNA", at positions 28 to 507 of the family's 1533-position model. The record is from RNAcentral.